RNAcentral lists this ribosomal RNA (626 nucleotides) under uncultured archaeon. Its description in RNAcentral is "bacterial SSU rRNA". It matches the Rfam family "Archaeal small subunit ribosomal RNA", at positions 1 to 604 of the family's 1478-position model. The record is from RNAcentral.
UCCGGUUGAUCCUGCCGGACCCUACUGCUAUCGGGAUGGGACUAAGACAUGCUAGUCGUGCGCUUCUAAGCCAUGGUGGAGGCGCGGCGCACAGCUCAGUAACACGUGGUUAACCUGCCCUUGGGACGGAAACACCCCCGGGAAACUGGGGCUAAUUUCCGAUAGGUGAAGACUCCUGGAAUGGAUCUUCGCCUAAAGGGCGCUUAGGCCAUGCUUCUAGGCGCUGCCCAAGGAUGGGACCGCGGCCGAUCAGGUUGUUGGUGAGGUAAUGGCUCACCAAGCCUUUAACCGGUUCGGGCCGUGGGAGCGGGAGCCCGGAGAUGGGCACUGAGACAAGGGCCCAGGUCCUACGGGGCGCAGCAGUCGCGAAAACUCCGCAAUACGCGAAGGCGUGACGGGGCUAUCCCGAGUGCCGUCCGCUGAGGAUGGCUUUUCCCCAGUGUAGAUAGCUGGGGGAAUAAGGAGAGGGCAAGUCUGGUGUCAGCCGCCGCGGUAAUACCAGCUCUCCGAGUGGUGGGGACGUUUAUUGGGCCUGAAGCAUCCGUAGCCAGCUGAGCAAGUCCCCAGUUAAAUCCAGCGAUUUAAUCGUUGGACUGCUGGGGAUACUGUCCGGCUUGGGGGUGGGA